This 305-nucleotide ribosomal RNA is filed under the name uncultured bacterium. RNAcentral describes it as "bacterial SSU rRNA". It matches the Rfam family "Bacterial small subunit ribosomal RNA", at positions 337 to 635 of the family's 1533-position model. The record is from RNAcentral.
ACCUACGGGAGGCAGCAGUAGGGAAUUUUCGUCAAUGGGCGCAAGCCUGAACGAGCAAUGCCGCGUGAACGAGGAAGGUCUUCGGAUCGUAAAGUUCUGUUGAAGGGGAAAAAGAGCGGAGAGAGGAAAUGCUUUCUGAUUGAUAUUACCCUUCGAGGAAGUCACGGCUAACUACGUGCCAGCAGCCGCGGUAAUACGUAGGUGGCGAGCGUUAUCCGGAAUGAUUGGGCGUAAAGGGGGCGUAGGCGGCCUGCUAAGUCUGGAGUGAAAGGUACCGGCUCAACCGGUACAGGCUCUGGAAACUG